Non-coding RNA from Myodes glareolus (Bank vole), 296 nucleotides. The record is from RefSeq and is a predicted model, not a curated record. NCBI's taxonomy places the organism in Eukaryota, Metazoa, Chordata, Mammalia, Rodentia, Cricetidae.
AUUUUCUUGAUGGGUCCUUCAACCUUCUUCCCCAGCCUUCUUGUAUGGCCAGACAGGGCCUCUGAUAAGGAGGGCAAGGUUACACGGGCUAGCCCGUGGCCAGCGGCAGCUCAGAAGGGGACCACCUUGAGGAAUCCACCGCCCCAGUGUGUAAACAGGCACACUGUGUUUUUUGUACACCACAGAUGGACCUAUAACAGGGGAAGUUGGGAGUGCUGGUGCUAAGGAAGAAGAGGGAAUAGAAGAAGAGAAGCAGCCUUCUCUGCCACAGGCCUCCUCCAUCUCCAUGUUCUCGG